AUGUCUGGUCGAGGCAAAGGAGGGAAAGGCCUGGGCAAGGGCGGCGCCAAGCGCCACCGCAAGGUGCUGCGGGACAACAUCCAGGGCAUCACCAAGCCCGCCAUCCGCCGCCUGGCCCGCCGKGGCGGCGUCAAGCGCAUCUCCGGGCUCAUCUACGAGGAGACCCGCGGCGUGCUCAAGGUGUUCCUGGAGAACGUGAUCCGCGACGCCGUCACCUACACGGAGCACGCCAAGCGCAAGACGGUCACGGCCAUGGACGUGGUCUACGCGCUCAAGCGCCAGGGCCGCACCCUCUACGGCUUCGGCGGCUGAGCGUCCUGGUGCCGCCAUCUCUCAUUGGUGAGCUCAAGUAUGGCUCGUACCAAGCAGACAGCGCGCAAGUCCACCGGCGGCAAGGCCCCGCGCAAGCAGCUGGCCACCAAGGCCGCCCGCAAGAGCGCCCCGGCCACCGGCGGCGUCAAGAAGCCUCACCGCUACCGGCCCGGCACCGUGGCGCUGCGCGAGAUCCGCCGCUACCAGAAGUCCACGGAGCUGCUGAUCCGCAAGCUGCCGUUCCAGCGCCUGGUGCGCGAGAUCGCGCAGGACUUCAAGACCGACCUGCGCUUCCAGAGCUCGGCGGUCAUGGCGCUGCAGGAGGCCUGCGAGGCCUACCUGGUGGGGCUGUUCGAGGACACCAACCUGUGCGCCAUCCACGCCAAGCGCGUCACCAUCAUGCCCAAGGACAUCCAGCUGGCGCGCCGCAUCCGCGGGGAGAGGGCGUGA
Molecule: non-coding RNA, 762 nt
Organism: Urocitellus parryii (Arctic ground squirrel)
Lineage: Eukaryota; Metazoa; Chordata; Mammalia; Rodentia; Sciuridae
Source: RefSeq, a predicted model, not a curated record